This 28-nucleotide small RNA is filed under the name Bombyx mori (domestic silkworm). RNAcentral describes it as "ovarian small RNA-24182". Lineage: Eukaryota; Metazoa; Arthropoda; Insecta; Lepidoptera; Bombycidae. The record is from RNAcentral.
UAUUGAAAAUGCCAGGCUCUGUUGAUGU